Long non-coding RNA from Gadus macrocephalus (Pacific cod), 798 nucleotides. RefSeq lists it as uncharacterized. The transcript is spliced from 3 exons. Lineage: Eukaryota; Metazoa; Chordata; Actinopteri; Gadiformes; Gadidae. The record is from RefSeq and is a predicted model, not a curated record.
UGGCUGGACCUCGACCCGGACCAGGGGCGUUGGCUGGACCUCGACCCGGACCAGGGGCGGUGGCUGGACCAGGAGCAGCACAGCAGCUUGAAGACGUGGACGUGGACCCUGGGCUCAAAGUUUCUUCAUCUUUAAGAGGACGGACGACCUGGUGGCCGACAGCAGACAGGAGUAGAGGGACACCGCUGGCAACUAACCCUAGACCUAGACCACCUAAACUAGACUUAAACCAUCUAACCCCUCAACCUAAACUAGCCUUAAACCAUCUAACCCCUCAACCUAAACUAGCCUUAAACCAUCUAACCCCUCAACCUAAACUAGCCUUAAACCAUCUAACCCCUCAACCUAAACUAGACUUAAACCAUCCAACCCCUCAACCUAAACUAGACUUAAACCAUCCAACCCCUCAACCUAAACUAGCCUUAAACCAUCUAACCCCUCAGCCUAAACUAGACUUAAACCAUCUAACCCCUCAGCCUAACCUCGGACCUAAACUUAACCCUAAACCGUACCAAUUAAAACAUCCUUAAUUAUCCUUAAUCACUUUGCAAUAUUAAACUAGCUAACCCUAAAGCCUAACGUGUCCCUCGGUCUGUCCUGCAACAGACGGUGCAGAGAACCAGCUCCUGUUGUCGACCCAAACAAGUCUACUGGAGCAGUGACCUCCGCCCCAGCAUGACGACCCUGGGAUCCAACGACACACCUGUAUGCACCCAUGUGUACCAAACCCACCUAUUGUACUCCUUACACCCCUAGAAUCACACAUUCACUGGGAUUACACUGAUUUACUUCAUCCAG